This is a long non-coding RNA of Chenopodium quinoa (quinoa), 530 nucleotides long. RefSeq lists it as uncharacterized. Lineage: Eukaryota; Viridiplantae; Streptophyta; Magnoliopsida; Caryophyllales; Amaranthaceae. The transcript is spliced from 2 exons. The record is from RefSeq and is a predicted model, not a curated record.
UUUUUAUUAGGCUCCUAAACCCCUUUCAUUAACCACCAAUUUUAUUAAAAAAAUAUACAUAGAAAACCACAAAACUCCCAUAAAAAUCAGAAAAAAAAAAAACUUUGUUUGCUGAAGAUUUUAAACUAUUCUGAAUUUUGUACGAUACCUAAUUCUAAACCAUUCGAACGAAAUUGCAUUUCAAUCGAACGAUCAUUAAUUGAAGAUUCGACGCAAUCAAGAUCAGUUCUUCGACAAUAUAUCAAUGUUAGAUCUAUUUUUCUCAAAAAAAAAAUCAAGGUUUGAGCGUACAAUAUGUGUAGUCGAUUUGAAGUUGUGCCGAUAUUGAAGAAGUUGGUGAUGUGCAGUCAGUACGUGUUCUGGUUGGAGAAAGCAGUAGUUGGGCGUUGUAGUUGCUUUAAGAAGUAGCGUUUUUUUUUUUUUGAGGAAAGUGGUGUACUCUAAUCGACCAAUUGUAUUUUUUUUAUCAAUUUUUGGGAUGGAAAGUGUAAAUUUACAUGUUAUUAAUGAAAAUAUCUUAGUUUUGUGUA